GAGUUUGAUCCUGGCUCAGAGCGAACGCUGGCGGCAGGCCUAACACAUGCAAGUCGAGCGGAUGUAGCAAUACAUCAGCGGCAGACGGGAUAGUAACACGUGGGAACGUGCCCUUUGGUUCGGAAUAACUCGGCGAAAGCCGUGCUAAUACCGGAUAAGCCCUUACGGGGAAAGAUUUAUCGCCAUUGGAGCGGCCCGCGUCUGAUUAGCUAGUUGGUGAGGUAAUGGCUCACCAAGGCGACGAUCAGUAGCUGGUCUGAGAGGAUGAUCAGCAUCACUGGGACUGAGACACGGCCCAGACUCCUACGGGAGGCAGCAGUGGGGAAUAUUGGACAAUGGGCGCAAGCCUGAUCCAGCCAUGCCGCGUGGAUGAUGAAGGCCUUAGGGUUGUAAAGUCCUUUUAACGGGGAAGAUAAUGACGGUACCCGUAGAAUAAGCCCCGGCUAACUUCGUGCCAGCCGCCGCCGUAAC
RNAcentral lists this ribosomal RNA (471 nucleotides) under uncultured Alphaproteobacteria bacterium. RNAcentral describes it as "bacterial SSU rRNA". It matches the Rfam family "Bacterial small subunit ribosomal RNA", at positions 9 to 524 of the family's 1533-position model. Lineage: Bacteria; Pseudomonadati; Pseudomonadota; Alphaproteobacteria. The record is from RNAcentral.